ACUAAAACAUUUUAAACUUUAACCGAAAGGUUUGAUUUCCCAGAUUUUGAAUUUUAAAGUCAGAUCUGCAAGCAAUGCUGAUUGGCUGUCACUUAUGGUUACAUCAGUUUUCUCACAAAAACACAUGUGAUUAAUGUCUUUGUUUUCAAAUCCCAACCGAUCUUAUGAUUGAUUAAUAAUGUUUACUUUUAUUUUCCUGAAUUUUCCUCACUUACUCAAUUAAUUAAGCAUCGUUAUUAUGGUAAGUCAAUUCAUUUCAUUUAUAUUCCUUUCUUUUUCGUAGUUGAUUUGAGAUUGGUUUGCUUCCAAGACAAUGGAUGAUUUAAUCUGUUUGGUUUUUAGUCAAAUAUUUGCCUCUUCAUUUCUUUGUUAACCUCCAAGUUGAUACUUCACGUAGCUUUUUAUCAAAUCAACCAAAUAAUCAGUAAUGAUACAAUAUGGUUUGGUGAAUAACUAAUCAAUCUUAUUCAUUUUGUGCUGACAUUUUUAAUCUCUAGGUGCAACAUUUUUUCAUAGAUAUUCAGCCUGGAGGCCUACUUUCACCAUGGAAUGUAAUUUUCCUCUUUACAUCUCAACCCAUACUGUUGUCUUUGUUUGGCUUUUUAACCGCCGUUGAAUCAUUACUCUCAUCUCUAUAAUCAACGUAUGGCUACAAUUUGAUGCUGGUGGUAUAUUCAACUAACCAUCAUUGUGAUACACACAAUAUGAGGUCAUCAUUGAAUGAAAUUUUACAAAUUUCAGUAGUUGAUGCUAUAUUUGUGUAAUAAUGGAUUGUAAAAUCUACAGAGGAAAGGAUAACAUCAGAAGCGAGCAAAUAAAUUCAAUUAGAAUAGUUGCUGAUAUAAAAACGGCUGAGCUAUCGAAACAAUAUACCAGAUUCAGGCUGGAACAAGGAUCUUAAUUGAGCUUUGGUUUUUGUUUUUAACUCGCAAUUAUCUUUCAAAAACAAAUAUCAACAAGUCAGAACCUAAACGAUGUUUUGAGCAAAAAUGGCUAAAUAUUAAUCAAUUAAAAAGGAAGGACAAGGACUCGAUUAUAUGGAUUUGAAUGAUUCACUGUUGACGUACAUUCAGUUUCGGGGAUAUUCCAACUAAACAAUCAACAUCAAUUAGCCUUGAAAGGCGUCCAUUUAGCUGAUUUCUUUGAUUCUGUGUAGCUUAUGAAUUCGAUAUCAUCACCCAUUCAUCUGUUUUACCUUCCAAAUAUCUUCAGUUCAGGUUAAUCACGUUUUGUUACUUAAACAUUUGUUUUGCCAUUUCAAAGCGAUAUAUCAUAAAAUUAUUGCUGGUGUUUCUCAAGUGGAAGGUGACUCAUUCAUGGCUAAAUUCAUCAGAGGCAAUCAAUAUUUCAAGUUGGAGCUUGAUGGUAAAUACUUGAUGUCAUUAUGCUGGUUGAUUUAAAUAAACUCACCUUCACUUGCUCUCAACUGUUCAUCUGACCAUUGCCUCCAGUUUUCCCUGUUUGAGGUAUCCGAAACUUUUGGCAUAAUAUCUCGACUUGCACCGAUUCUAAGGCCUUUUUGAGUGGCAAAUUUAUUUGUUCCAUAUUGAGCCGGAAUGAUUG
Molecule: long non-coding RNA, 1563 nt
Organism: Tetranychus urticae (two-spotted spider mite)
Lineage: Eukaryota; Metazoa; Arthropoda; Arachnida; Trombidiformes; Tetranychidae
Source: RefSeq, a predicted model, not a curated record